CAGUCGCCGCGGUAAUACGUAGGUGGCGAGCGUUGUCCGGAAUCAUUGGGCGUAAAGGGAGCGCAGGCGGGCAAGUAAGUCUUUCUUAAAAGUUCGGGGCUCAACCCCGUGAUGGGAAGGAAACUACAUGUCUUGAGUACAGGAGAGGAAAGCGGAGUUCCCAGUGUAGCGGUGAAAUGCGUAGAUAUUGGGAGGAACACCAGUGGCGAAGGCGGCUUUCUGGACUGCAACUGACGCUGAGGCUCGAAAGCCAGGGGAGCGAACGGGAUUAGAUACCCCCGUAGUCCCUGUCUCUUAUACA
RNAcentral lists this ribosomal RNA (301 nucleotides) under uncultured bacterium. Its description in RNAcentral is "partial 16S ribosomal RNA". It matches the Rfam family "Bacterial small subunit ribosomal RNA", at positions 509 to 809 of the family's 1533-position model. The record is from RNAcentral.